RNAcentral lists this ribosomal RNA (253 nucleotides) under uncultured bacterium. RNAcentral describes it as "partial 16S ribosomal RNA". It matches the Rfam family "Bacterial small subunit ribosomal RNA", at positions 524 to 776 of the family's 1533-position model. The record is from RNAcentral.
UACGUAGGGUGCAAGCGUUGUCCGGAGUUAUUGGGCGUAAAGGGCUCGUAGGCGGUCUGUCACGUCGGGAGUGAAAACUCAGGGCUUAACCCUGAGCCUGCUUCCGAUACGGGCAGACUAGAGGUAUGCAGGGGAGAACGGAAUUCCUGGUGUAGCGGUGAAAUGCGCAGAUAUCAGGAAGAACACCGGUGGCGAAGGCGGUUCUCUGGGCAUUACCUGACGCUGAGGAGCGAAAGUGUGGGUAGCAAACAGG